RNAcentral lists this ribosomal RNA (467 nucleotides) under uncultured bacterium. Its description in RNAcentral is "bacterial SSU rRNA". It matches the Rfam family "Bacterial small subunit ribosomal RNA", at positions 355 to 825 of the family's 1533-position model. The record is from RNAcentral.
UAGGGAAUAUUGGACAAUGGGUGAGAGCCUGAUCCAGCCAUGCCGCGUGCAGGAAGAAGGCGUUAUGCGUUGUAAACUGCUUUUUGCCAGGGGAUAAAAAGACCGUGCGCGGUUAAUUGAAGGUACCUGGUGAAUAAGCCAUGGCUAACUACGUGCCAGCAGCCGCGGUAAUACGUAGGUGGCAAGCGUUGUCCGGAUUUAUUGGGUUUAAAGGGUGCGUAGGUGGCCCUGUAAGUCAGUGGUGAAAUAUCUCAGCUUAACUGAGAGGGUGCCAUUGAUACUGCAGGGCUUGAGUACAGAUGAGGUAGGCGGAAUUGACGGUGUAGCGGUGAAAUGCAUAGAUAUCGUCAAGAACACCGAUAGCGAAGGCAGCUUACCAAGCUGUAACUGACACUGAGGCACGAAAGUGUGGGGAUCAAACAGGAUUAGAUACCCACGUAGUCCCUGAGCGGGCUGGCAAGGCGCAU